UACACUCCUACGGGAGGCAGCAGUGGGGAAUUUUGGACAAUGGGCGAAAGCCUGAUCCAGCAAUGCCGCGUGAGUGAAGAAGGCCUUCGGGUUGUAAAGCUCUUUUGUCAGGGAAGAAACGGUGAAAGCUAAUAUCUUUUGCUAAUGACGGUACCUGAAGAAUAAGCACCGGCUAACUACGUGCCAGCAGCCGCGGUAAUACGUAGGGUGCAAGCGUUAAUCGGAAUUACUGGGCGUAAAGCGUGCGCAGGCGGUUUUGUAAGUCUGAUGUGAAAUCCCCGGGCUCAACCUGGGAAUUGCAUUGGAGACUGCAAGGCUAGAAUCUGGCAGAGGGGGGUAGAAUUCCACGUGUAGCAGUGAAAUGCGUAGAUAUGUGGAGGAACACCGAUGGCGAAGGCAGCCCCCUGGGUCAAGAUUGACGCUCAUGCACGAAAGCGUGGGGAGCAAACAGGAUUAGAAACCCUGGUAGUCC
RNAcentral lists this ribosomal RNA (472 nucleotides) under uncultured organism. Its description in RNAcentral is "partial 16S ribosomal RNA". It matches the Rfam family "Bacterial small subunit ribosomal RNA", at positions 332 to 796 of the family's 1533-position model. The record is from RNAcentral.